RNAcentral lists this ribosomal RNA (918 nucleotides) under Triticum aestivum (bread wheat). RNAcentral describes it as "partial small subunit ribosomal RNA". The record is from RNAcentral. Lineage: Eukaryota; Viridiplantae; Streptophyta; Magnoliopsida; Poales; Poaceae.
AUGCUAUCCCCGCAGGACAACCAGAUCUGCUUCGCCACCCCGCAGGGCUGGAUCUUCAUCCUGCACGGCGCCGCCCCGUGGGAGACCUGGCUGUGGCAUCCGGUCACCGAAGAGACCAUACCCCUCCCGCCCAUACGAGACGACCACUACGUCCCCACCAACUGCACCUGCUACCUCACCCACAGCUCCGCCAUGUAUCCUGACUGCGCCGUCGUGCUGCUCGACGUCGCCGACCCCGACAUGUGGUUCUGCCGAAUCAACGGAGGAAGCAGUAGGGAAUGGGCGCAGCACACGUAUGACGUCGGCGAGUACACUCUCCCAGAGGGCGACGGCGACUGCACUUCUACUCCCCCGACCAAGAGAGUAAUAGCUGGCGUCGUCGCCGCCCUGGGAGGGAAGCUGCAUUUCAUCUUCUCGGAAUCAAACCAAUACAAGAUGGGCGUCGUUAACCUCGACUUCGGCACUCCUGCCCCUACGGCCGAGCUUCACACGCUGGAGGACGUGGACGCCGCCAUAACUCUACCGGAAGGAAUGUGCGGUGGCGUGACCAGUCUGCUGGAGUCACAGGGGGAGCUUUUCCAGGUCUGCGUUUGCUUCCGGGGAUUUGACCCCAACGACGUAGGCGCCGUGCUUGUCCUGAAGAUGGAUUUUGGCCAUGGCCGCCGCUGGCGCAGGGUGCAUGACAUUGGGGACAGGGUCUUCAUGUUGGCUCACGGAGGCAAUGCGGUUUCUUGCCCGGCGAGCGCGUGCAACCUGCAAAGGAACCGCGUCUACUUCAUGAAGAACUUCGUCGAGGAUGAUGGGGAUCUGUGCAUCUACGACCUGGUGGAAGAAGUCCUUGAGAUUCUUGUGGUUCAUGAAAGGGACUUGACUCUUGCACGCACCAAACCUUAUUGGAUUGUACCGCCUACUGCCUAG